RNAcentral lists this ribosomal RNA (632 nucleotides) under Salmonella enterica subsp. enterica serovar Enteritidis. RNAcentral's name for it is "bacterial LSU rRNA". It matches the Rfam family "Bacterial large subunit ribosomal RNA", at positions 1 to 661 of the family's 2925-position model. Lineage: Bacteria; Pseudomonadati; Pseudomonadota; Gammaproteobacteria; Enterobacterales; Enterobacteriaceae. The record is from RNAcentral.
GGGUUGUGAGGUUAAGCGACUAAGCGUACACGGUGGAUGCCCUGGCAGUCAGAGGCGAUGAAGGGCGUGCUAAUCUGCGAUAAGCGCCGGUAAGGUGAUAUGAACCGUUAUAACCGGCGAUACCCGAAUGGGGAAACCCAGUGUGAUUCGUCACACUAUCAUUAACUGAAUCCAUAGGUUAAUGAGGCGAACCGGGGGAACUGAAACAUCUAAGUACCCCGAGGAAAAGAAAUCAACCGAGAUUCCCCCAGUAGCGGCGAGCGAACGGGGAGGAGCCCAGAGCCUGAAUCAGCAUGUGUGUUAGUGGAAGCGUCUGGAAAGGCGCGCGAUACAGGGUGACAGCCCCGUACACAAAAGCGCAUGUGCUGUGAGCUCGAUGAGUAGGGCGGGACACGUGGUAUCCUGUCUGAAUAUGGGGGGACCAUCCUCCAAGGCUAAAUACUCCUGACUGACCGAUAGUGAACCAGUACCGUGAGGGAAAGGCGAAAAGAACCCCGGCGAGGGGAGUGAAAAAGAACCUGAAACCGUGUACGUACAAGCAGUGGGAGCACAGGUUUACCUGUGUGACUGCGUACCUUUUGUAUAAUGGGUCAGCGACUUAUAUUCUGUAGCAAGGUUAACCGAAUAGGUGU